RNAcentral lists this ribosomal RNA (468 nucleotides) under uncultured bacterium. Its description in RNAcentral is "partial 16S ribosomal RNA". It matches the Rfam family "Bacterial small subunit ribosomal RNA", at positions 28 to 507 of the family's 1533-position model. The record is from RNAcentral.
GACGAACGCUGGCGGCGUGCUUAACACAUGCAAGUCGAACGGAAAGGCCCUGCUUUUGUGGCGUGCUCGUGUGGCACACGUGUGAAUAACCCCUGAGUAACCUGCCCUUGACUUUGGGCUAACUUCAGGAACCUGGGGCUAAUACCGCAUAGGAGCUCCUGCUGCCUGGUGGGGGUUGGCCAGUUUCGGCGGUUUGGGAUGGACUCGCGGCUUAUAAGCUUGUUGGUGGGGUAGUGGCUUACCAAGGCUUUGACGGGUAGCCGGCAUGAGAGGGUGACCGGCAACAUUGGGACUGAGAUACGGCCCAGACUCCUACGGGAGGCAGCAGUGGGGAAUAUUGCACAAUGAGCGGAAGCAUGAUGAAGCAACGACGCGGGCGGGAUGACGGCCUUCGGGGUGUAAACCGCUUUCGCCUGUGAAGAAGAGUGAGUGACGGUAAUGGGUAAAGAAGCACCGGCUAACUACGUG